Molecule: ribosomal RNA, 492 nt
Filed under: uncultured bacterium
Lineage: Bacteria
Description: partial 16S ribosomal RNA
Rfam family: Bacterial small subunit ribosomal RNA
Source: RNAcentral
AGUGAACGCUGGCGGUAGGCCUAACACAUGCAAGUCGAACGGCAGCACAGUAAGAGCUUGCUCUUACGGGUGGCGAGUGGCGGACGGGUGAGGAAUACAUCGGAAUCUACUUUUUCGUGGGGGAUAACGUAGGGAAACUUACGCUAAUACCGCAUACGACCUACGGGUGAAAGCAGGGGAUCUUCGGACCUUGCGCGAUUGAAUGAGCCGAUGUCGGAUUAGCUAGUUGGCGGGGUAAAGGCCCACCAAGGCGACGAUCCGUAGCUGGUCUGAGAGGAUGAUCAGCCACACUGGAACUGAGACACGGUCCAGACUCCUACGGGAGGCAGCAGUAGGGAAUAUUGGACAAUGGGCGCAAGCCUGAUCCAGCCAUACCGCGUGGGUGAAGAAGGCCUUCGGGUUGUAAAGCCCUUUUGUUGGGAAAGAAAAGCAGCAGGUUAAACCCCCGCUGUUCUGACGGUACCCAAAGAAUAAGCACCGGCUAACUUCGUG